RNAcentral lists this long non-coding RNA (670 nucleotides) under Phascolarctos cinereus (koala). RNAcentral describes it as "lncRNA (ENSPCIG00000013787.2)". Lineage: Eukaryota; Metazoa; Chordata; Mammalia; Diprotodontia; Phascolarctidae. The record is from RNAcentral.
UAAAUGUAUCAAUUCCAGGUUGUUAUUUUUUUCCCACUUUUGUUUUUCAUUGUGGAAGACAGACCAAUGUUUUUGGCACAUUGCUAUGAAUUUCCCUAAGGUUUUCAAUCAAGCUAUGUUCCAGAGCUCUAUGAUAUUGUGAUGUCAUCUAGCACCUAGAUGGAAUCCUGCUUUUGCUUCUACCCUAUGAAGGAUUCAUAUACUACACUGAACAUUUGGUAACAUAGUUUUGCUUCACUUGAUCUGAAUACUCAGCACUUGGGGAAAAAAAUAGAUUUUUAACAAAACAGACUAGACUUAAGAGAAUUACUACAAUCAAACUAAAGCCAGGAGCUAAAGCCUAGAGGCUGUCUUCUUGGUACAUCAAAAGCCCAUUUCAAUAGCUGCUUCAUCUUCUUCUAUGUACUCAGGAUCUUGUCAAUCUUGUUGCUUUUCCUGCUCCUCAAUUAUCAGUACAAACCAAAGAGGCAAUGUAACAGGAGGAGAUUUCAUUAGAUUACGAAGGAAAACGUUUUCCUGAAACACGAGUUAUGAAAUUUUGUUUUCAGGACAAGAGAUGACUGGGGAGAAGGAGAAAAGGAUGUGGCAUGGUUGGUAGAGCACAUAUCAAGAUGCUUGGGGCAGACAGAUAGAUGGAUUGAUGGAAUAUAUGUGAAACAUGACCCAGGGG